Molecule: transfer RNA, 77 nt
Filed under: Bacteriovorax sp.
Lineage: Bacteria; Pseudomonadati; Bdellovibrionota; Bacteriovoracia; Bacteriovoracales; Bacteriovoracaceae
Description: tRNA-Arg
Rfam family: tRNA
About the family: Transfer RNA (tRNA) molecules are approximately 80 nucleotides in length. Their secondary structure includes four short double-helical elements and three loops (D, anti-codon, and T loops). Further hydrogen bonds mediate the characteristic L-shaped molecular structure. tRNAs have two regions of fundamental functional importance: the anti-codon, which is responsible for specific mRNA codon recognition, and the 3' end, to which the tRNAs corresponding amino acid is attached (by aminoacyl-tRNA synthetases). tRNAs cope with the degeneracy of the genetic code in two manners: having more than one tRNA (with a specific anti-codon) for a particular amino acid; and 'wobble' base-pairing, i.e. permitting non-standard base-pairing at the 3rd anti-codon position.
Source: RNAcentral
GCACCCUUAGCUCAGCUGGAUAGAGUGUCAGACUUCGAAUCUGAAUGUCGGGGGUUCGAAUCCCUCAGGGUGCGCCA